This 253-nucleotide ribosomal RNA is filed under the name uncultured bacterium. RNAcentral describes it as "partial 16S ribosomal RNA". It matches the Rfam family "Bacterial small subunit ribosomal RNA", at positions 524 to 776 of the family's 1533-position model. The record is from RNAcentral.
GACGAGCCUCACGAACGUUAUUCGGAAUUACUGGGCUUAAAGGGUGCGUAGGCGGCGCGACAAGUUGGGUGUGAAAUACCUCGGCUCAACCGAGGAACUGCGCCCAAAACUAUCGUGCUCGAGGGAGAUAGAGGUGAGCGGAACUUACGGUGGAGCGGUGAAAUGCGUUGAUAUCGUAAGGAACACCCGUGGCGAAAGCGGCUCACUGGGUCUUCUCUGACGCUGAUGCACGAAAGCUAGGGGAGCAAACGGG